This 465-nucleotide ribosomal RNA is filed under the name Vreelandella stevensii. RNAcentral describes it as "partial 16S ribosomal RNA". It matches the Rfam family "Bacterial small subunit ribosomal RNA", at positions 338 to 795 of the family's 1533-position model. The record is from RNAcentral. Lineage: Bacteria; Pseudomonadati; Pseudomonadota; Gammaproteobacteria; Oceanospirillales; Halomonadaceae.
CCUACGGGAGGCAGCAGUGGGGAAUAUUGGACAAUGGGCGAAAGCCUGAUCCAGCCAUGCCGCGUGUGUGAAGAAGGCCUUCGGGUUGUAAAGCACUUUCAGUGGGGAAGAAAGCCUUGGGGCUAAUACCCUCGAGGAAGGACAUCACCCACAGAAGAAGCACCGGCUAACUCCGUGCCAGCAGCCGCGGUAAUACGGAGGGUGCGAGCGUUAAUCGGAAUUACUGGGCGUAAAGCGCGCGUAGGCGGUCUGAUAAGCCGGUUGUGAAAGCCCCGGGCUCAACCUGGGAACGGCAUCCGGAACUGUCAGGCUAGAGUGCAGGAGAGGAAGGUAGAAUUCCCGGUGUAGCGGUGAAAUGCGUUGAGAUCGGGAGGAAUACCAGUGGCGAAGGCGGCCUUCUGGACUGACACUGACGCUGAGGUGCGAAAGCGUGGGUAGCAAACAGGAUUAGAUACCCCAGUAGUC